RNAcentral lists this ribosomal RNA (497 nucleotides) under uncultured bacterium. RNAcentral describes it as "partial 16S ribosomal RNA". It matches the Rfam family "Bacterial small subunit ribosomal RNA", at positions 28 to 507 of the family's 1533-position model. The record is from RNAcentral.
GAUGAACGCUGGCGGCGUGCCUAAUACAUGCAAGUCGAGCGAACAGAUGAGGAGCUUGCUCUUCUGACGUUAGCGGCGGACGGGUGAGUAACACGUGGAUAACCUACCUAUAAGACUGGGAUAACUUCGGGAAACCGGAGCUAAUACCGGAUAAUAUAUUUAACCGCAUGGUUCAAUAGUGAAAGACGGUUUUGCUGUCACUUAUAGAUGGAUCCGCGCCGCAUUAGCUAGUUGGUAAGGUAACGGCUUACCAAGGCAACGAUGCGUAGCCGACCUGAGAGGGUGAUCGGCCACACUGGAACUGAGACACGGUCCAGACUCCUACGGGAGGCAGCAGUAGGGAAUCUUCCGCAAUGGGCGAAAGCCUGACGGAGCAACGCCGCGUGAGUGAUGAAGGUCUUCGGAUCGUAAAACUCUGUUAUUAGGGAAGAACAAAUGUGUAAGUAACUAUGCACGUCUUGACGGUACCUAAUCAGAAAGCCACGGCUAACUACGUG